This 779-nucleotide ribosomal RNA is filed under the name uncultured Neocallimastigales. RNAcentral describes it as "partial large subunit ribosomal RNA". It matches the Rfam family "Eukaryotic large subunit ribosomal RNA", at positions 23 to 646 of the family's 3401-position model. The record is from RNAcentral. Lineage: Eukaryota; Fungi; Neocallimastigomycota; Neocallimastigomycetes; Neocallimastigales.
ACACGCAUGACACACUGCAUAUCAAUAAGCGGAGGAAAAGAAACUAACAAGGAUUCCCCUAGUAACGGCGAGUGAAGCGGGAAGAGCUCAAAUUUGAAAUCUUAAAGGGCUUCCCUUUACGAAUUGUAGUUUAAAGAAGUGUUUUCUGUUGGAGUUUCGGUAAAAGUUCUUUGGAAUAGGACAUCAUAGAGGGUGAGAAUCCCGUAUUUGACCGUUACUUUCCAGCUGUGUGGUACACUUUCAAAGAGUCGGAUUGUUUGGGAAUGCAGUCCAAAAUGGGUGGUAAAUUUCAUCUAAAGCUAAAUAUUGGCGAGAGACCGAUAGCGAACAAGUACCGUGAGGGAAAGAUGAAAAGAACUUUGAAAAGAGAGUUAAACAGUACGUGAAAUUGUCAAAAGGGAAGCGUUUGACACCAGUGUUGUUUAGUUGAAAAUCAAUUCAAUAAUUUUUGAUUUUGAGUAGUAUUGACUUCAUCAGCUUGCCUGCUUUCUUUUCAGGAAAUUAUUGAAUGCACUUUUCAGUUAACAAGUCAACAUCAAUUUCUUUUGUUGUAAAAGGGUAAGAGGAAGGUGGCUUACGUUUCGGCGUAAGUGUUUAUAGCCUUUUACCUCUGCAAUCGGAGAGAUUGAGGACAGCAGCGUAGACUCCUUCUGGGGUUAGAUACACUUGUGCUAAGCUAUAGCCUUGUAUAGACAACUUGUUGACUAUGCUCAGUCAUGUAGCUUACUCGCUUGUGCUAUUUUACCUACGCUUAGGAUGUUGACGCAUGAGAUAUACGC